RNAcentral lists this ribosomal RNA (745 nucleotides) under uncultured bacterium. RNAcentral's name for it is "bacterial SSU rRNA". It matches the Rfam family "Bacterial small subunit ribosomal RNA", at positions 33 to 773 of the family's 1533-position model. The record is from RNAcentral.
ACGCUGGCGGCAGGCCUAACACAUGCAAGUCGAGCGGUAGAGAGAAGCUUGCUUCUCUUGAGAGCGGCGGACGGGUGAGUAAUGCCUAGGAAUCUGCCUGGUAGUGGGGGAUAACGUCCGGAAACGGACGCUAAUACCGCAUACGUCCUACGGGAGAAAGCAGGGGACCUUCGGGCCUUGCGCUAUCAGAUGAGCCUAGGUCGGAUUAGCUAGUUGGUGGGGUAAUGGCUCACCAAGGCGACGAUCCGUAACUGGUCUGAGAGGAUGAUCAGUCACACUGGAACUGAGACACGGUCCAGACUCCUACGGGAGGCAGCAGUGGGGAAUAUUGGACAAUGGGCGAAAGCCUGAUCCAGCCAUGCCGCGUGUGUGAAGAAGGUCUUCGGAUUGUAAAGCACUUUAAGUUGGGAGGAAGGGCAGUAAAUUAAUACUUUGCUGUUUUGACGUUACCGACAGAAUAAGCACCGGCUAACUCUGUGCCAGCAGCCGCGGUAAUACAGAGGGUGCAAGCGUUAAUCGGAAUUACUGGGCGUAAAGCGCGCGUAGGUGGUUCGUUAAGUUGGAUGUGAAAUCCCCGGGCUCAACCUGGGAACUGCAUUCGAAACUGACGAGCUAGAGUAUGGUAGAGGGUGGUGGAAUUUCCUGUGUAGCGGUGAAAUGCGUAGAUAUAGGAAGGAACACCAGUGGCGAAGGCGACCACCUGGACUAAUACUGACACUGAGGUGCGAAAGCGUGGGGAGCAAAC